AUGUACAUUCCUAUAGUGUUAAUGCAUUGGAUCCCAUUAGAACUUUGUAGUUAACUGCGUUUGUGCUAGAGUAGUACUAGGAUGGGUGACCUCCCGAGAAGUCCUAGUGUUUUACAUG
This is a non-coding RNA of Picea glauca (white spruce), 118 nucleotides long. The record is from Rfam. NCBI's taxonomy places the organism in Eukaryota, Viridiplantae, Streptophyta, Pinopsida, Pinales, Pinaceae.